This 492-nucleotide ribosomal RNA is filed under the name uncultured bacterium. RNAcentral's name for it is "partial 16S ribosomal RNA". It matches the Rfam family "Bacterial small subunit ribosomal RNA", at positions 29 to 507 of the family's 1533-position model. The record is from RNAcentral.
AGCGAACGCUGGCGGUAGGCCUAACACAUGCAAGUCGAACGGCAGCACAGUAAGAGCUUGCUCUUACGGGUGGCGAGUGGCUUACGGGUGAGGAAUACAUCGGAAUCUACUCUUUCGUGGGGGGUAACGUAGGUAAACUUACGCUAAUACCGUAUACCACCUACGGGUGUAAUCAGUGGAUCUUCUGUCCUUGCUCGAUUUAAUUCGCCGAUGUCGGAUUAGCUGGUUGGGGGGUUAAUGGCCCACCAAGGCGACGAUCCGUAGCUGGUCGGAGAGGAGGAUAGCCAACACUGGAACGGGAACACGGUCAAGACUCCUACGGGAGGAAGCAGAGGGGAAUAUUGGACAAUGGGGGCAAGCCUGAACCAGACAGACCGCGUAGGUGAAAAAGGCCUUCGGGUUGUAAAGCCCGUUUGUUGGGAAAGAAAAGCAGCAGGAUAAAAAGCCGAUGUUGUGACGGUACCUAACGAAUAAGCACCGGCUAACUUCGUG